RNAcentral lists this long non-coding RNA (464 nucleotides) under Cercocebus atys (sooty mangabey). Its description in RNAcentral is "lncRNA (ENSCATG00000045666.1)". The record is from RNAcentral. Lineage: Eukaryota; Metazoa; Chordata; Mammalia; Primates; Cercopithecidae.
ACUAACCCCAAAGCACACAUGUAUGGGGUGUGGGAUUCUGAUGAGUGCAGCUAUCGUCAGUUACCUUGCAGGACAACUGUGACUCACUGAAAUGUGUAAUUUUAAACAGAAGUGGUCCUGUAGAGAUUGUCAUCUUGUUGGCAGGAGAAUGGCACCUUACCAAGUAAGAAUGAGGACUGCAAGAGGAGGGGGCACAAGAAGCCUGAGAGGAAGAAAAGCAGUGAGACACCUUCAGUCUUCCAGCCAGGAUUUGUGCCUUCAGGAACCAUCUAGCUCUAUGAAACCUGCUUGCCUACCUGCUGUAAACUACCUCAGAGCCUGAACUACCUGAGUAAAGCUGUAUUUAUGAAUACAGGCAAAGAAAGUAAAAGAAAACCUCAUAAGAGAUGGACAUAGUGAAAAGACCUUGGAGAUGGAUGAGCAGAUGUGAGCACAUGGCAUACUCACGCUCCUGUUGGGACCCC